CCUACGGGAGGCAGCAGUGAGGAAUAUUGGUCAAUGGACGAGAGUCUGAACCAGCCAAGUAGCGUGAAGGAUGACUGCCCUAUGGGUUGUAAACUUCUUUUGUCAAGGGACAAAAUCAGGCUCGAGAGCCUGACCGAGGGUACUUGAAGAAAAAGCAUCGGCUAACUCCGUGCCAGCAGCCGCGGUAAUACGGAGGAUGCGAGCGUUAUCCGGAUUGAUUGGGUUUAAAGGGUGCGUAGGCGGACUGUUAAGUCAGCGGUAAAAGCCCGGGGCUCAACCCCGGCGAGCCGUUGAAACUGGCUGUCUUGAGAUGUCGAGAGGUAUGCGGAAUGCGCAGUGUAGCGGUGAAAUGCUUAGAUAUUGCGCAGAACUCCGAUUGCGAAGGCAGCAUACCGGCGGCGAUCUGACGCUGAGGCACGAAAGCGUGGGUAUCGAACAGGAUUAGAUACCCCAGUAGUC
Molecule: ribosomal RNA, 459 nt
Filed under: uncultured bacterium
Lineage: Bacteria
Description: partial 16S ribosomal RNA
Rfam family: Bacterial small subunit ribosomal RNA
Source: RNAcentral